GAGAAGGUCCCCUCGAGACCCUGGAAUAACUGGACCUUCUGGAUGGGUCAAGUGGCACCAGACGUGGGGCACGAGGUACAACCACCCUCUGGAAAACGGAUUUGAGAGGAUCGCCAUGGAUAGAUCUCUCACAAUAUUGAUGAUGCUGGUCAUGACAGUGACAGCCAGGCAAGCCCAGACCUAUCAGAACCCUCCCCAUGUCUUCUAAGGGCUUUCUUCAACUUCUGUUUCCUUGUAGACACCAUUUGUAAACACCCAGAAGAAACAACAAGAGCA
This 276-nucleotide long non-coding RNA is filed under the name Mus musculus (house mouse). RNAcentral describes it as "predicted gene, 50076". Lineage: Eukaryota; Metazoa; Chordata; Mammalia; Rodentia; Muridae. The record is from RNAcentral.